RNA transcript from Thunnus maccoyii (southern bluefin tuna), 2510 nucleotides. It is a transcript of the gene named zeta-sarcoglycan-like, with no coding region annotated. Lineage: Eukaryota; Metazoa; Chordata; Actinopteri; Scombriformes; Scombridae. The transcript has 11 exons. The record is from RefSeq and is a predicted model, not a curated record.
UCGCACCUCAAUCCGUGUGGCUUGACGGUGGUUGAGUUUUGAAGGAGAGCGAAUCGUCUGGGCUCCUUGAACCAAAAGUGAUCCCGCGAUUCUUAAUUAGACUGUAGUCUGUCUGAACAGCAGCUCCAGAAUGCGUCUUAAAAUAUACUGAAUAUAUAGUUAGAGAAUAUUUAAAAAUAAUAAUAAUAACUGGACGGAAACAUUGGACGUGAUUGUUUGCAGCUGUCUCGCGCAGCGGGGCUGAAUUUCGUGCGUUUACCUUUUUUUCUUUUUUUUUAAUGAACUUUGUGGAAAUAUGUAACUGUGACAAAUGAGAUUGUAACAUGGAGCAGUCGGCUACUCUCGACAUAGAGACGCUAAAGAUUACCCAGGAGCAGUUUAUUCUUGCGUCCCAGUCGCUGCACCUCCAGCGACCAGGCUGUGAUGCCGUCUACCCAGUGGGUCUGUACGGCUGGAGGAAACGAUGCCUCUAUUUCUUCCUGCUGCUGCUGCUGGUCACCAUGAUAGUUAACCUGGCCCUCACCGUCUGGAUCAUAAAGGUCAUGAAUUUUUCAGUGGAUGGUAUGGGAAACCUGCAUUUGAACCAGGAUGGGAUUCGUCUGGAGGGAAUUUCCGAGUUUCUCCUGCCUCUCUAUGUGAACGAGAUCCAGUCCAGAAGGGACAGCUUGUUGGUUUUGCGGUCAGAAAAGAACGUGACGCUGAACGCCCGAAACAACCAAGGCCAACUGACCGGCCAGCUCACAGUGGGACCUGAGGCUGUGGAGGCUCAGUGUCAGAAGCUAGAGGUACGGAGUAGAGACGGAGGCAGACUGCUUUUCACUGCAGAUGAGGAGGAGGUCAUCAUGACAACAGAAAAAUUCACUGUUACAGGCUCAGAAGGCGCUGUGUUCGGACAUUCAGUAGAAACUCCGCUGAUCCAGGCGAAGGCUUCUGAAGACCUGAAGCUGGAGUCUCCAACACGGACGCUGACCAUGGAGGCUCCCAGAGGGGUAGAAGUGAGCGCAUCCAAGGGGCCGCUGAAGGUCAGCGGUCGAAAGGACCUACAACUGGAGUCCACAGAGGGAGAGAUACUCUUAGAUGCCAACACCAUUCAGCUGGGGAAUCUUCCGCUCGGCGUCUACACAGCGUCUCCAAGCGAGGCCUCCCAGGAACAAGCCCUGUACGAACUGUGCGUCUGCCCCAGUGGCAAGAUCUACCUCUCUCCUGCAGAGAGCAGCUCCACCUGCCAGGCCAUGAGCAACAUCUGUCUCUGGAGCUGACCUGGGACCAGCGUCGGUGGUCCGGGACACCUUCAGCAUCUGCUCUGGAGCUACCGGGUUCGAGACGAGGACUCCCCCGUUGGUACAUUUGACGGAGAGUGGAACGCUGAGAUGGAGCUCAAACUCAACACUUGAGCUCAGAUUAGCACAGAAGCAUCCGAGUCCUCUUCCUGCAGUGGUCUCAUGGAGAUCAGGACUCUUGUAGCACUGACAGUGAUGGAGGAACGGCAGCCAGAGCAGCCCUCUGAAAUCAGGAAUAUCUCCUACAAACAGGAACAUUUCCACUACCUUAUAUCUUUUUAUUUUUCUACUCUAGGUUUAUUGUAGACAUGCAGUGACUGCCUUCAGGAUUGGGAAAGAGCGGAUGGGAAAAGAUGAAAACACAGGUGCCUUCAGCUGUGAAAGAAGUCAUAUUGUGACUAAUACUGAACUUCUGUGUGCCAUCAGAGUGAAAUAGUCAGUGGUGUUUGAAGUUGUAAUGGUAGAAAGUGAUGUAAGCACAAUUGUCAUGUUUCUCCUCUCCCAAAAAAGUCCAGAUUUUAAACAUUUUUUGAGUAAUCUCAAUCGAUAUUUUAGCUUUUUUUUCCACUGUUAGCAGCUGUUUAAUUUGAAAUUAAACAUGUUUUUAUGUGGGACACGUUGUACGAGUCAAACACUGUAAACGUGCGGUUUCAAAUGUUCAGGUUAAAGGUUGACAAGACUUCUCCACUUUAAGAGUGUGAGCUGUACUUCUCUUCGAGGCAGCGAUCCACCGUGGAGUUGGACACGAGAGGCUGGCUGACCUUGGCGCGGCGACUGAGAGCAAAAAGCAGGCAGCCAUGUGUCAGCAGACCUGCUGGAGUGCAAAGUCUCGCUCUCCACUCCGCUUCCUCAUCCUCCAUCAUCAUCAGACGGGGGCCGCUUUGCGCUGAUGUGCAUCUCAUACAGGACAGAUGCUUCAGCGUUUCACCUGGUGGGGGUUGGAACAUGAUGAAGGCUUUCCAUGGCCACGGGCAAUCGGAAAAGAACUGGCCCGAGGAGACUAUUAUAGACACAGGAGUGCUGCAGAAGACGUGACCGUGUGCAGCUCAGGACUUCAGCUUCAUGUUGUAUAUUAUGGUUUGUUUAUAAAUCCACACAAUCUAUAAGUAACUUGUACUGUAAGAACAGUUUCCAUCAUCCACUGUUGUACAAUAUUUAGCUUGUGCUGCCAUCUAUUGGCAGAUAUACUUCAAUGUUACAUUUGGAAAAUACAAAGUUGGAUUCCCCUGC